ACGAUACUGUGAAAUAUAUCAAAUCUUUCGUAAUUAUCCUAUCUUCUUUCCUUCGUUUCCACGUCUCGCUCGCACGCGCACUGGGCGGCGGCGGCGACUAUGCGGCGGGGGGCGACGACGGCCUCGUCAAGCGCAACAUCCGGAGGCGGCCACGACUCCCCGCCCGUCUUCAUCCCGCUUCCUCCCGUUUGUGGCCGAGCCCUCCCCGCGACACGCCGUCGCCGCCGCGCGCCUCGUAGAAGAGAGGGAGGCGGCCGUCGCACCGACCCCGCUCCACCCCCGCCUGAUUUCCUCGGCAUCGAUCGGGUUUGAUCCAUGGCGUCGAAGAGGAUCCUGAAGGAGUUGAAGGACCUGCAGAAGGAUCCGCCCACCUCCUGCAGCGCAAGUGGUGUAUGCUCCUGGUCUUGUGCGUCACGAUUGAUGGGUGGCACCGAAGAAUUAGCUCCGUCCACGUUGUUCUGUUGCACCGAAGAGUUAGGAUGAGGAUUGAUCGGAUGGGGGCUAUUUAUUUAUACAGGGAUUUGAUUGGAGUCAUGGACUGGAUGGAUUCCUUUUAUGCUCAGAGUGGUAUACCUGUGAAACAAAGGAGUAUGCCACCAAGGGAGACCCAUCCUUUCUUCCUGUUCCUUCAGAAAUAGUCGAUGAUGUAUUUCAGGUUUAAUGCCCUGAUCAGGUUGUAAACCCCAACUCCCCCAAUGAGAAGCCAAAGGAGGAUUGAUCGGGGCGAACAAGUAACCGACUUUAUCAGUCCCGAACCUCUGGAUCGCGAACAACACCACCAAAAUUCCCAGUGAUCCAAACUAUCUCAUCUGUGGAAAAUGCCACAUGUCAUUGUCAUGCAUGCACACCCUGUAUUCAUACGCACUAUGAAAUCAAUUAUGCAAUCUUUGUGAAUUCAUUUUCAGGACA
Long non-coding RNA from Setaria italica (foxtail millet), 909 nucleotides. RefSeq lists it as uncharacterized. The record is from RefSeq and is a predicted model, not a curated record. Lineage: Eukaryota; Viridiplantae; Streptophyta; Magnoliopsida; Poales; Poaceae. The transcript has 4 exons.